UUUCAAAGCAAAUUUACAUUCAGAAUUAAAAAUUCCAGCCAUUCUAGGCUUGAGCUGGGUUUUUUUUUGUUUCUCCCUGAGCAUGUGAAGAAUUCAGAAGUGCUCUUACAAGCAGGGGGGAUAAAACCACACAGUGCAGAUGCUGAGAGGCAGCAUCAGUGAGCUGAGAAGUGAUUAUGCUGCACCCCUGGGCAACGAGGCUGUCACCAGACCUCCAAACAAGAUGUGAGAAUCUGGGACAGUUCUUUGCUUGGCACUUCCCCUGCCUGGCUCCCAGUCAGGAAUGAAACCCCAGCACUGCCCAAAGGCAGAUCUGGGGAGCAGGAGGGGUCACACCCAGGGCACACCCAGCCAGAAAUGAAGGAAUGAAACAGGGGAAGUGACAACUCGUGGCUUUUGCUGCAAGCCAGAGCUCAGCUGAUGACUUGUCACACAGCAGCUGCAGCUCCGAAUUGUUACAGGACAGCUGGAAUCACUGCUUGCCAUAAAACACCUCGACUUUUGGCUCUGCUGCCCACCCAGACCCCAUGGAAGCAUCCAGUGCAGGGAUCCAGCAUCGCUCGUGGUGAGGGAGCAAACUCAGCUGAGACUGGGAUGGCAGCGCUGAGGAAAUGCAGGCACAGCCACGGGAGAAUGAAAGAAAUCUGGGAAGAGCAGCCAACAACAGGAAUGCCAAAAAUGCACCAAAAAUGCCACAAUAGGAACCAGUGCCAGGUUUGGGCCUGGUUUUGCUCUCUCCUUGCAAGGACUCCCUAAAAGGUUGAUGACAAAGAUCUUCUGCUUCAUCUCUCUCAUCUCUUUUUUAUUUCCUUUCUCUACCUCACAUUUACUGUGCAAUAAAAUCUGAACUACUGACUCCAGCACGUGGUCUCCUGUGCAGAUGAAUUUGGGCAGAGGAAUCUCUCAAUAUUUGGAUUUUAGCAUCAUCCCAAGGGGGUCAGGAGUGUCCCCAGCACUGCAGUCCACUGCCACCUUCCUCAGCUGAGAAAUGAGUUAUUUAAUUCACUUCCCUUUGAAGUGCUUGAAUACAAUGCCACGCUGGAAAUGAAAAAUAAAAGUGUCAUUCAACAGAGAAACACAAUUUACAGUAAUUACUCAUGUCUGCAGAAUACAUAGGAAAAAAAACCCAAGGGAAAUUAAAAAUCCUGUAAAUAGCCUCACUGGAGAAUAGCUGGAGAGACCCCAUACAAUAACCCAGUGUUUACACUGAUCCCCACCCUUCUGCAUCCCCAAGAAGAUGGCAACUGCAAGCCUGAAAUUCAGUUUAGAGCCAUGGAAAAGUCCAAAAGGAGAAUGAGAGGAAAUUGAAAUGUUGGACCUCACAUUUCCCAUUACUGCUAAAACCCAGGAGAGAGGAAAACCCUGAAUUUCAGUGCUCAGCAUCACUGGAGUGCUUGCUCUGUUUUCCAUCAAUAAUUUCCACACAUGCUGCAAUUUGCUGAUUGCUCACAGGGCAAGGUGAGGAUGGGAAGUGGAAAAGCCUUACCUGGUUAGUGCAGGGUGCAGCCACAGCCUGGCUUCACACAUCAAACUUCUGGCACAGGAAGGUCCCCAAAAGGCCACAAGAAGUGACAGGGAAGGUGUUUAACAUGGAGACCUCAACCAGCCAGUGAAGUGAGAUGUAUCACAUUAAAAAUGUGUUUGAUGUGUGGGCAUGAACUCACAGCUGUACCUGCACCCACGUGAAUCUCUAUUCAUGUAUCACAAACAAAUACAUUUUCCUGCAAACUUUCCAUCCUUUUCCUCUGUAAAGUCACACAGAACUACAGCCAAGGUACAGAAAAAUGCCUGUGUUAAGACAAAAAUGAAUUUAAAAACAUUUUUACCUUCAGAAUUUGUGGCAGCAUGGGAGACAUCUCAGUAAUCAUAGAUGUCAAUUACAGGAACCAGCUUCAGGAGUGACCUUUGUGUUGAGCUUCCCAGUGAAAAGAAAUGUGAUUAAAAAGCAAACGACCCCUGUCCAACAAAUCUUGGGUGGUUUUGUGUGGGAUUGCUCUGUGCACCUGUAAAAUCCACCCUCACUCCCAGGCUGGGACUCAGGGAAAUGGAAUUAAAGAAUCUCCUUCUAUCCUGGCCCUGUGAGCUGACUUUCACUAAGUGAAUUCAAGCUGCUUUUCAAGAAGUGAAAAUUAGUAGCCACUGAAAUUCUGUUUUUUUCCACUGUCCAGGAACUGGGCACCUCUGAAUUGCUUCUUCCAGGGACAUUUGUGUCACGAAGCCCUGGGGAGCUGCUCUCAAGUGUGAGCAGAGGGACAGCACCUGGGGGAAGUUAAUCCCUGGCCUGUCCCAAAUGGUGAAAACCUGAUCCCUGCGGAUGCUGCCAAUUCCCUGGCCAAGAUCUGCUGUGGAAAAGAUGGAAGGGAAGCAAGCAGAAAUAUGGAUUUGAAUCAAGUCUGAGUGGGGACUUUGGGCAUGGAGGCACUGGGAGGAUAAAGAGGAGAUAAAGAAACCAGAUCAUCCCAAUGUCAGCUUCACAGGGGUGGGCAAAGCAAAAGACUCCUUGGACCAUUUAGGGAUGAAUUCCCACAGGAAUGGGGCAGAUGGAAGGGACAGAUAUCGCCACUGGGUAAAGUCUCUACAACAAGUUUCUUUUCUGAGCUGUUUCAUACUGAGCUCUCUUCUCUGCAUUAGCUCAGCUGGGUCCCAAAGAACCUGACAAGGAAUUCCCAAGGCAUGGGAUGCUCUGGCCUCGAGCGGAUCGGAAAGAAGAGAGCAAACCAUGGGAAAUAACAACAUAAUAUAAUCCUGGGACUGUUCACUGCCUGUAAGGAUUAGCAGCUGGCUUUGCUCAGGUGUGAUUUUACCCCACUUUGAGCAGGGUAAAUCCAUUCUGCCUGGGCUCUACCCAGCCUAGGAGCUGUUAGAUUGUAAAAGCAGUGACAAUUCGGGUCUGAGAGCCUGAUUUUCAGUUCCUAGGCUCAGCUUGCAUAUUUGUAAAACACACACACAGAUGAGAUUUGGAGUCUGUACUGUGAGACCCAUUUGGAAGUGCAGCUCUUGUUUGAGGAGUCUCACAGGGCUGAAUUAUAACACUUGCAUGAGCACAGGAAUUUGCUGAGGACAUGUGAAAACAAACACAUUAUCAGAAAUACAAUUUACAGGCAUUCACCAAAAGGUCAAUGGAAAGCUCUUCCCAUCCUUUAGGAAGCAAAUGGAAGGGAAAAGAGGAAAAUUCACCCAGCAUCACAGCAUGAGCUCCCUGCAGCAAGAGCAGCCUCUAAAGCAAUCCUCAAUUAAAUGCAAGACUUACAGAAUUAAAGUAUUGAUACAUUAUUGACUAUGGAUAUCUGAUUGACUGCAGCCAAGAAUCCUUCCCUGCCUGCUCCUCUUGAGCAGGGAUUGUAUGAACAAAACAAAGAGGGAAUUGCAGGGUGAGAUCCAGCAGUAAAUCCUGAGACACUCCAGGAGCUGAUUUCACAGCAAGGAGAUCCAAAGUGUGUGAUCCAAAGUGACACCGUGGUUUAGGGCAGAAAAAUGAGAAUAUGUAAUUGACCACUGGAGCCACUUUUUAUGAGAAGGGCAAUUUUUCUGCCUUGGUAACAACAGUGUUGUUUUACUGCUGUGUAAAGUCACUUCUGCUUGGAUCUUGCAUCGUGUAGCAGGUACCUGAGGUGGAAAAUAUGACAUAAAACUCAUCUGUUUUCUGAAGCAUUCACUUAGAGACACCCAAGCCAUCAUUUUGGGCAUGGACAGCACACAGGGAUGGAUGUUCUUAGUGCUGAUGUGUGUUUUAGCUCCAACCUGCAGGGACAACCACAACAGUAC
This 3765-nucleotide long non-coding RNA is filed under the name Ficedula albicollis (Collared flycatcher). RNAcentral's name for it is "lncRNA (ENSFALG00000027999.1)". The record is from RNAcentral. Lineage: Eukaryota; Metazoa; Chordata; Aves; Passeriformes; Muscicapidae.